Pongo pygmaeus (Bornean orangutan) is the source of this 3183-nucleotide long non-coding RNA. RefSeq lists it as uncharacterized. Lineage: Eukaryota; Metazoa; Chordata; Mammalia; Primates; Hominidae. The record is from RefSeq and is a predicted model, not a curated record. The transcript has 4 exons.
AGAAGAGCAAGGAAUGGGCAGUCGUUUGAGAUUUGGGUCUGGGCUUAUACAGCCUUGGCUUAAGCUAAAUCCAUGCUGCCUACCAUUUUUUUCUAUGUGGAUGGUUUAGAUCACUUUCUUCCCAAAAGACAUGUGAGUUACUGGCGCUUGGGGCAAAUCAGGUGUCAUAUGCCAUAGGCAUUUCUUCCAAAUAAUUGAUUUUCCUUAGCCCAAAGGAGGUAUGACGGUGAUGCCUUUCUUUUGAAGAACUAAAAGUGCUUCACUAUGUUCUCUUGAUUUCAAUACCCAAUUUUCCAUACUGACAGAUGGAAGAACUGGGACCCAGGGAGGUUGCCUCGCUCAAAUCAUUGGUGAUAGCUUCAGUUUCUCUGGUGCUCAUUCAUCAAGCUGUGCCAUAGGCAUGCCACACUCUCCUUCAUUCAAAUGGCAGCUGUACUGCAUCUUCCUUUCCUUUUCAUCUUUGCAUCUUUAUUUACUCCAAUAAAUUCCCUAAUUAAUCCCACGCCUUCUCCCCAGUGCCAGCAAACUCUCAACCUACACACCCUCUUAGAGUACUCUUAAACACUAUUUAUUUAUACCCAUCACCAUUUAUUGUGACUCUGCUGUAUUUAUAGGCAUUUGUAUUGAUUUAUACAUGUCUCUGUUGAUUGUGAGUUGGGCCAGUUCCUUCUAGUGAAUACAAUCACGUUGGAAGUAGAUAGGUGGUUAUAUAUAGUCUAUGCCCCAAAUGUUGAAGACAGGUCAAGCUCUGCGGAUGAAAUUGAAAAUUAGAUGGCAGCAAAAUUAGAAUUAGCUCCCUUGACAUUUGGACUGUGCAUCAGACUGACCAUCAAUCAGCAUCCCUGAUGCUCUUUGACGGAGGGAGAGAUGCAAAGGGCUGGUCAUCAACUGACCACAAUCCUGGUGUGUGUACGUCCUUUGCAUGAUAGUAGUGGGGCUGUCCAUGGAGUUAUGAAGUGGCAUUAAACCCCCCUUUCAUGCCCAAAGUUCCUCUUAUCCUUAAAAACAAUCUAUUGACUCAUUGAUACUUCACUCUAUAUAUACUGGAAGAAAUGACAUUCUCGGAAGAAUGCAAUUGCUUUCCCAGAGUCUGAAGCCAGAUUCAUGGGGACACCAGAGCCAGGCAGUCAGGACAGGUAGUGAAUAAAACCCAGACUCUGGAGCCAGACUGCCCAAGAUUGAAUUCUGGCCCCACCAUUUACAAGACACGCAAUCCUGGGUAAGUUGGGUAACCUCUAGGUCUCUGUUUCCUCCUGUAUAACAUGGAGGAAAUAAUAAAACCUACCUCAUGGGGUUGUUUUGGGAACUCGGUGAGUUAACUCAUAGAGCUGUAUGUAUGUUCGCUCCCCUUCUGUCUAAUGGUAGCCGUGAACGAAUGGGGAGUGGGGAGAUGGUGUGUUACAAAGGUGGGAACUUCCUUUUAUACUAAUGCCUUCCUCAAUGGACAAGAAAUACUAUACUUUCUCUCUUAUGGUGAUACAUGUUAAAGAUGCUUUGGGGAAGAAUGCUAUCUGGCUACAGCCACUUUUCAGAACUCCUGGAGUUUCUACGGCUGUAAUAUAUGCAUCAUGAGAGUUCUUCCAGGGCUCUCCAGAGAAGCACUUAGGGCAAUACCAGGCUUUCUUCUGGAAGGAGGACUCUUAAAAGCCAGUGAUUCCAACCUUUAGAACUCAAUCCCACCUCAGCCUUCCCAAAGAAGUCAUUGACAGAGUGGACCAGACACGUGGUGGGUUCUCUUGGAUCUGUGUUAGGGCUCUGUAGCUUAGUCACCAUUUCCCUACACAAAUGCAUGAUAUGAGCUCUCUUCUUUCCUGAAACUCCAUCCCCUCCCAGCAUAGCCAAGGACAAAGUGUUCUUCAUGUGCAUUUUUACAGUCUUUAGAACUAAAUGGCAAUUUAUAGAAAGGUUGCUUGUGAUACAGUCAACUCCCAGCAGUGCCCAAUGGUCAAUCACACACUGUCCAGGGCUGAAGAGGUAAGAGAACGCAGUGUCUCCAAGACUCCUUCUGGGAGAGGCAGGAGGAGGUGAUUUCUUCCUGUACCUCAGCAGGAUCCCAUGGAUUGCCUCCCUCAGUGUGUCUGCAAUGGAUUGUCCGCUGAUAUUUUGGUUUAGCAUGCACUUUCCACCUCUGACUCCAAGAGGAAAAAAGAAGUCUAGGCAGCCACGUGGCAUCCUGGCGCUUCAGUGUGGAGGCCAGAAGAGGAGAGGAAUCCUCACCCAACAGUCAGGACAGAUCAUCGAGAGAGAAGGAAUCUACAUUGCCUCGCCAGAUGCAACACUAGAAGUGAACACAGGCUUGGAAGUUCGCAAUGUGCUUGAGAAAUGCUAGGGUGACUUAACUGGCUGCAGGCAAGGGAGCAAAGUGACCCACGGGGCCAAUCACCAACACAGGAUUCACCAAGUAUUGAAUGACCAUUCUUGGUCAUCGCUAUUCAGAGAGGCAGAAGCAAUUUUUACUGGAAAGCCCACAAGCAUGACUUUUCCAUCCCUCCAGUUUGCAAGUUCGUGCAGAUGAUAGGAGAAAAAAAUAGCCCAGCACAUUUGCAUUUAAGUCUUGAAAUCUAAAUAUUUCUGUGAGUCAUUCAUUAUUCCCGUAUAACUCAGUGUUUGCAUGCAAAUAACUUUAAUGACAUAAAUGCUUAUAAAAUAAGUCUCUUACCAUAUGAACGCGGUAAAGAAUGCUAAUUCCCAGAGUCAUGAAUGGCUUAGAGAAAUCAAUCACCUUCUCCCGUUCAGCUGUAAUGGUGAGGCCUGCCACAGCCAGAUCUGCUUUCUGAAAGGAACAGAGACAGCCUCUGUCAGUGGGGUGGCCACAGGAGACGAGGGACAGAGACUUGCGACCAGCAACCGUCACUGCUAUUGGAGAUGUGAUGCUGUUCUGGCUUCUUGCUUGAGGAGUGGCUUGAGGAAGCAGAGACUACGAAAUUGAGCAAGUGGCCCAACAUCACAAAGCUCAUCCCAGCUGGCUAGGAUUCAGGCCUCCUGGAUCACUGGCCACUUAUGUCGCUGUCCAGGUGAAACUUCAGAUGUCAUUAGCAGACCCAAAGAAGAGUCUCUGGUCCCUUUAAUGCACAACAACCAGCAUUUGUUCAAUAGAGGCUUCCUUCCUUUCCCCUUGCCUCCAAAUUGUACCUCAAGUGCCCACAUCUGAUGAGAGUUAGCCCUGAAUUAAAGCCUUCUGGG